GUGAGUGGUUGCUUAGGCAUUGGUUAUGACUAUCUGUCCUUGCCCCAGGGACAGAGCUGACUUCCGGAUUCCAGCGGAAGCCAGCGUGGGAAACAAGUAUUGGGUGAGAAAGUGAAGCUGGGCAUCAGUCUCACACUUCUCACCCUCAUGUUCCGGUGGGGCUUGCACGGCCCAAGUCCGAUACCAGGGACAAGGACGAAAGAAUGGCAAGCCCCUGGAUUCCUUUAACGGAAUUCCCAUUUCCGCACCACCAUUGGAGGGGUAGGCACUUACCCUCCACCAACCAAAUUUAACCAAUGCCUAACCGCCAACCUUACAAGUUGUGACGAUUUGCUACGCAGUAGGCAAAAACCAAAUGGCACCAGCCAAUCAGCCAAUUGGCAAAAUUCCUACCAGGCCCCCGCACCAAGGCGGACGACCCCAUGACAGGCAUAGCAAGGUCAAGAUCCAAACCCCCCCCCUUUAAAGGGAGGGUGGGCGGGUGAAUCAGUGCAAAAAGGCCAAGAGGACGCCCAGCGUUGGACGCCCUGUAUUUAAGGCCUCUGACCCCACCUCCAAAUUGGCAACAUUCAAAACUCCCCAGUAACCCGUUAACCACUUAAAGGCUUGGGUUCCUCACCAAAUUUGCACAGUCACUGCAGGGUGGCAUGUUCCCCCAACCGCAACACGUGCUCUCUUUUAUGGAGAACACGCUUUGCGUGUUGAGUCCCACAACGCCACCCCCCAAAAAAUUCACACUUCACACGUCAAUUUUUGUUUAAGGUUUUUGGCAUAAUUUUGGCCACAACUUUAUUCAAAGUACAAAAUGUGAGUGGUUGCUUAGGCAUUGGUUAUGACUAUCUGUCCUUGCCCCAGGGACAGAGCUGACUUCCGGAUUCCAGCGGAAGCCAGCGUGGGAAACAAGUAUUGGGUGAGAAAGUGAAGCUGGGCAUCAGUCUCACACUUCUCACCCUCAUGUUCCGGUGGGGCUUGCACGGCCCAAGUCCGAUACCAGGGACAAGGACGAAAGAAUGGCAAGCCCCUGGAUUCCUUUAACGGAAUUCCCAUUUCCGCACCACCAUUGGAGGGGUAGGCACUUACCCCUCCACCAACCAAAUUUAACCAAUGCCUAACCGCCAUGGAGCCCUCAGCUCACCGCCAAACCACUCACAGGCCCAGCCAAUCCCUUAGCUUAGCCACCACCGCACCUAGCCAAGCCUCGUUCCCUAAGGCCGAAAGGUGCACACCAUCAUCUCUGAAAAAUGAUUCAUUCUGAGAAAUAAUCUCGGGAUGUGAGAUUACGUCACCACCCAACUCGAAAACCUUUUUUGCCACCGCAGAAUUGACACGUUUUCUGGCCCUUUCGAUGGCAGCCGGGCAACGACUCCCUCUCCACGCGCGUCGUUGCAAAAACUUUGACCAAAAUAUCUUUGCAGUCGGCAACAUAGCCCGCAGCACAUCGAGGUCGCCCAAAAUUGCUGCACGUAACGAAAAACAGUCCAUGGAAACCAGGUCGUUCUCACCCAGCUGCACCACAAUGGCUGCAGGAGGCCCCUCCAACACCAUCUGCCUCCGAAUCAGCGGCAGGAACUCUGACCAGCGCAUUCCCCGUCUGGACAGCCAAGCCAAGUGGACAUGUGGAGGAAGGCCGAGACCUGGUCCCAAUCCGGAUUGCCGGGCUCCGAUGCCAGCCCAAUGCACGAUACUGUGCCCCACCAACCAGAUGCGAACAGUCGCUAAACCUGAGGUAAAAAGCAAAACAAACAACAAACCAGAUGUAAGCAUACCAAAUUGUCAACGGACGUAACCUCUGAACGCAUUUGAUUUCCAACGACCCAAUUCCUUUAUUCUGUCGGCCGACAGGCCCCAAUGCGCUGCAGUCGUAGCCGCCCCAAUUCUAAAGGAAUGGGGGGCAAAACCAUAAGCCGAAUCGCCACAAGCGAUGAUCGCCUUCCGCAUCACCAUUGUGAACUGGUGCCUUGUCAGGGGCGGCCCAUCUUCAUGCCUCAGCAUCGGACCCUCCCCUGGGGGGCGAACAGCCAGGUACCUUCUAACAUCUUUUACGGGGCAGGGGCCAGCUUCCCCCGUAGCAGGGAGACGAAUAAGGGCUCCCCUACCCUUCUGAUCUGUUUUUGAAUUCCUAAUCGUGAGUCUCAGCUCCACCGGGGAUAACUGUACGUCCUGGAGCAAUAGGCCCCUAGAACGACCGUCCCUGUGAACUUCCAGUACCAGCUCGCCCACCCGUAAGGCCCCAAAGAAGGCAAUGGAAAAGGCUGCCGAAAAAAGGCGAGCCUCAUACGCGGACCAACAGACACUCCGCAAUUUCUUACGCAUCCUGCUAAGCAAGUCGAAUGAAAUCGGGCGCCGGGAUGCGGGUCGGGAAGGACAAAGCCUACUCCAACCUUCAAGGGCCCUACGCACUACAAACUUUGCACAAGGAUCUUUGUCAAAAUAUGACUUAGAGAAAAACGCUAUUGCAGCUGCCUGAAUCCUAAUUGUCUUGGCUGCACGCCCCAACUGAAAAAGGUGCGCCAAAUAUCUCAGCACCUGAGAAGUGGAGGGUGGAGCCUUCCCUACCACACUGACUGACUGAUGGGUAAAGGCCAAAAAGUCAGCCCAUGCUUUAGUGUAUGACCGGAGGGUAGAAGGGGAAAUAGAUGCAGCUACUCCCUGGAAAACUAAUUGCUGCCAAGGUUCCAGAGAUGAUCCGGGAAAUAUUCCGGACGUUCCCGAGCCUCUGGAACCAGAAGUCUGAACCGCUCCAUCUGAAAACGGGACAGAGCAUCAGCAAUUUCGUUAGACACCCCCGGAAUGAAACGUGCAGAAAACACUAUAUUAUAACGUAAACAAUGUAGAACAAAGGCCCGCAAAAGGGCCGACACCCUGGGGGAGCGUGAAGACAGCUUGGCCAGCACGUUCACCACCGCCUGGUUAUCGGUCCAGAAGCAAACACGGCGGUCCCUGAACUCAUCGAGCCACAAGUGCACUGCCACUGCAAUGGGAAAAAACUCGAGAAAAGUUAGGUCCCGCGUUAUGGCUUCCCCCUGCCAGGCGGGUGGCCAAGGCAUGGCGCACCAUCUGCCUUUCCAAUACAGACCAAAGCCCAGGGAACCUGCAGCAUCUGAUUGCACUUGAAAAUCAUUAUGCAAGUUCAACGUGCCUUGCCACAGGGAUACCCCGUUGAAUUCCUCCAAGAAUUCAAGCCAAAUGCAGAGAUCCGCCUUCACCUCACUAGAGAGGCGAACCCGAUGAUGCGGGGCCCUCAACCCCGCCGUAAGUCGAGCCAGGCGUGAACAAAAGGGGCGCCCAGGCGCCACUACCCUGCAGGCAAAAUUCAGGUGCCCUAAUAGCGACUGGAGUUGCCUCAGGGACACCUUCUUCAAAGGGAGCAAUUCCUCUAUAACUUUCUUCAAAGCAACCAGCUUAUCCUUUGGCAAGCUGGAAGUUUGAGAAACCGUAUCUAAGAGGAUACCCAAAUAAGUAAGGUGGGUCGAAGGACCCUCCGUCUUUUCCGCUGCAAGCGGAACGCCCAAUUCUUGCGUAAGGUCGGCGAAGGCAUGCAGCAGCACCGCGCAAUUGCCGGUAUCAUGCGCCGAGGCCAAUAAAAAAUCAUCCAAAUAAUGAGUGACUCCGCCCAAUCCAGUUUUUUGUUUGAGGGCCCACUCCAAAAAUGUGCUAAAAGAUUCAAAAGCGGCACACGCUAUUGAACAGCCCAUAGGCAUAGCUUUGUCAAAGUAAUACUUGCCCUCAAACUGGAAACCUAGUAACCAAAAAUCCUCGGGAUGAAUAGGCAAUAAACGAAAUGCCGAUUCAAUAUCGCAUUUCGCCAAUAAGGCGGCAGGGCCGAACUUCCGAAUCAUCUUGAUCGCAUGAUCAAGAGAGGCGUACUUCACAGAGCAAAGCUCCUGAGGAAUAACAUCAUUGACUGAGGUGCCCCUAGGGUGUGAUAAAUUAUGAAUUAAGCGAAACUCGCCUGGGGCUUUCUUUGGCACGAUACCCAAUGGGGAUACGUGCAACUUACGAAAUGGGGGAGCACUGAAAGGACCAGCCAUACGAUGCAUAGCC
This is a non-coding RNA of Podarcis lilfordi (Lilford's wall lizard), 4044 nucleotides long. Lineage: Eukaryota; Metazoa; Chordata; Lepidosauria; Squamata; Lacertidae. The record is from the annotation of a GenBank genome assembly.